AACGCACAUUGCGCCCGCCAGCACUCUGGCGGGCAUGCCUGUCCGAGCGUCAUUUCAACCCUCAGGGCCCCCAGGGGACCUGGUGUUGGGGGCCGGCCGCCCGCGCGCGCGCCGCCCCCGAAAUGCAGUGGCGACCUCGCCGCGGCCUCCCCUGCGCAGUAGCACAGCCUCGCACCGGAGCGCGGAGACGGUCACGCCGUAAAACGCCCCAACCCUCUCAGGAGUUGACCUCGGAUCAGGUAGGAGUACCCGCUGAACUUAA
This 262-nucleotide unclassified non-coding RNA is filed under the name uncultured fungus. Its description in RNAcentral is "partial contains 5.8S ribosomal RNA, internal transcribed spacer 2, and large subunit ribosomal RNA". The record is from RNAcentral. Lineage: Eukaryota; Fungi.